CAAUAGCGUAUAUUAAAGUUGUUGCAGUUAAAAAGCUCGUAGUUGGAUUUCUGGUGGGAGCGAUCGGUCUGGCGCUUAGCGCGAGUACUUGUAUCGUCUCCGGCCAUCCUUGGGGAGAGUCUGUCUGGCAUUAGGUUGUCGGGCAGAGGAUCCUCAUCGUUUACUGUGAAAAAAUUAGAGUGUUCAAAGCAGGCUUAUGCCGUUGAAUAUAUUAGCAUGGAAUAAUAAGAUAGGACUUUGGUACUAUUUUGUUGGUUUGCGCACCAAAGUAAUGAUUAAUAGGGACAGUUGGGGGUAUUCGUAUUCCGUUGUCAGAGGUGAAAUUCUUGGAUUUACGGAAGACGAACUACUGCGAAAGCAUUUACCAAGGAUGUUUUCAUUA
This 382-nucleotide ribosomal RNA is filed under the name uncultured eukaryote. RNAcentral's name for it is "partial 18S ribosomal RNA". It matches the Rfam family "Eukaryotic small subunit ribosomal RNA", at positions 592 to 975 of the family's 1831-position model. The record is from RNAcentral.